GGAUAGCUCAGUUGGUUAGAGCGUGGUGCUGAUAAUGUCCAGGUUACAGGUUCAAUUGCUGUAUGGGACA
This is a non-coding RNA of Podarcis lilfordi (Lilford's wall lizard), 70 nucleotides long. Lineage: Eukaryota; Metazoa; Chordata; Lepidosauria; Squamata; Lacertidae. The record is from the annotation of a GenBank genome assembly.